AUUUAACUGACGAAUCCCAAAUGAGGCGAAACGCGCGUCUUGGAU
This 45-nucleotide non-coding RNA is filed under the name Schistosoma bovis. RNAcentral also lists the same sequence under 1 other name. The record is from RNAcentral. Lineage: Eukaryota; Metazoa; Platyhelminthes; Trematoda; Strigeidida; Schistosomatidae.